AUUGAACGCUGGCGGCAGGCCUAACACAUGCAAGUCGAACGGUAACAGGAAGCAGCUUGCUGCUUCGCUGACGAGUGGCGGACGGGUGAGUAAUGUCUGGGAAGCUGCCUGAUGGAGGGGGAUAACUACUGGAAACGGUAGCUAAUACCGCAUAAUGUCGCAAGACCAAAGAGGGGGACCUUCGGGCCUCUUGCCAUCGGAUGUGCCCAGAUGGGAUUAGCUUGUUGGUGGGGUAACGGCACACCAAGGCGACGAUCCCUAGCUGGUCUGAGAGGAUGACCAGCCACACUGGGACUGAGACACGGUCCAGACUCCUACGGGAGGCAGCAGUGGGGAAUAUUGCACAAUGGGCGCAAGCCUGAUGCAGCCAUGCCGCGUGUAUGAAGAAGGCCUUCGGGUUGUAAAGUACUUUCAGCGGGGAGGAAGGGAGUAAAGUUAAUACCUUUGCUCAUUGACGUUACCCGCAGAAGAAGCACCGGCUAACUCCGUG
Molecule: ribosomal RNA, 490 nt
Filed under: uncultured bacterium
Lineage: Bacteria
Description: partial 16S ribosomal RNA
Rfam family: Bacterial small subunit ribosomal RNA
Source: RNAcentral